GACGAACGCUGGCGGCGUGCCUAAUACAUGCAAGUCGAACGAGAGCGACCGGUGCUUGCACUGGUCAAUCUAGUGGCGAACGGGUGAGUAACACGUGGGUAACCUGCCCAUCAGAGGGGGAUAACAUCCGGAAACGGAUGCUAAAACCGCAUAGGUCUUCGAACCGCAUGGUUUGAAGAGGAAAAGAGGCGCAAGCUUCUGCUGAUGGAUGGACCCGCGGUGCAUUAGCUAGUUGGUGAGGUAACGGCUCACCAAGGCCGGGAUGCAUAGCCGACCUGAGAGGGUGAUCGGCCACAUUGGGACUGAGACACGGCCCAAACUCCUACGGGAGGCAGCAGUAGGGAAUCUUCCGCAAAGGACGCAAGUCUGACGGAGCAACGCCGCGUGAGUGAAGAAGGUUUUCGGAUCGUAAAACUCUGUUGUUAGAGAAGAACAAGUGCUAGAGUAACUGUUAGCGCCUUGACGGUAUCUAACCAGAAAGCCACGGCUAACUACGUG
RNAcentral lists this ribosomal RNA (498 nucleotides) under uncultured bacterium. RNAcentral describes it as "partial 16S ribosomal RNA". It matches the Rfam family "Bacterial small subunit ribosomal RNA", at positions 28 to 507 of the family's 1533-position model. The record is from RNAcentral.